CUUUUUCUCUGUGCAUCCUCAGUGACGCGGGGCACAGCUCUGCCCGGGGGCCUACCAGAGCCCACCUGGACCCCACACUGGGUCAGCCCUGGUGCGGAGGAGGCCGCUGCGCGGCCAGGUCACAGUCGGCACCAGAAGUUUGGCAGAUCUCAGUGAGGCGUUAGUUUGCAUUUCCUUGUGACGGGUUUUGACUGGAAUGCCAGGCUUAACGUUGCUCAGAAGUUGCUUCUAUGAGGACGUCUCCCAGCAGCUGUCAGUGUUUCCAAUGAGUCAUCGCCAGCCCCUGCAAUGAGCCUCUCAGGCUGCCAGGCCGCUCCUCUGAAGGCGCUGAGCCGCCUCUAAUCACAGCGCCACACUGGCCACAGGUCGCUGGGUAUAGGAUGAACCCAGCUGUGAAUAGGAUGCAUUUCCUGGGAGGUUUCUGUGAAGUUACUGAACUGCCAAAAGAGAAUGCUUUAAAUAAUUCAGCACAAUCUUUGCAUAAAUCACACCAUUCAGCUGAGGUGCCUGUCAGCAGUCAAGUGAUUGAGAGCACAAACUGUCCCAAAGACACAGCCCCCUUCCCCCUGGAGACGCGCACAGCCUGCAGAAGAGAUGUCACCUGAUGCAGCGUUGUGGUUUAAAAACUCAUUAUGGGAAGCAUGAGGCUGGACCCAGGGGACCCUGGAGGUGAUGCAGGGGCUUUGGCAGCCUGGAAGCUGUUGGAGGAGGGGCCCUUGGUGGAAGUGGGGACAGUUUGAGCCUCCGGCCUCCAAUUCCCUCCCGCUGGCUUCUGGGCCGCACCUCCAGGAAUCCAGCUAGACCCGCAGGGCUCUGACUCCAGACUUUAUUAAAUGUUUCCUCUAACGGUUCUGGCCAUUCUGCUGGGCCAUUAAAGGCUACCCCAGGGCCUCAGA
RNAcentral lists this long non-coding RNA (896 nucleotides) under Homo sapiens (human). RNAcentral's name for it is "long intergenic non-protein coding RNA 1237". The record is from RNAcentral. Lineage: Eukaryota; Metazoa; Chordata; Mammalia; Primates; Hominidae.